Anopheles gambiae (African malaria mosquito) is the source of this 1176-nucleotide long non-coding RNA. RefSeq lists it as uncharacterized. The record is from RefSeq and is a predicted model, not a curated record. The transcript has 2 exons. NCBI's taxonomy places the organism in Eukaryota, Metazoa, Arthropoda, Insecta, Diptera, Culicidae.
CCCCACCCCAUCCCACUUAACACUUCUUUCGCUUUUACUUUUUUUUUUAACUCAGUUAAGUUUUGAGUUUUAACCUACCGAAAACUACCGAUAAAAUUUUGAUGCGCCUACCGAAAACCGCCAAAAUAAUCUGGCCACACUGCGCCGAAGGAGCAUUGGCAGAUACAGUGCUAGGCAAACUUUACUCACCGUAUGGAUAUUUGUGGAAUCUCUUGAGAAAUUUCAUAGUUGUAGGAAAAUUGUCCGAGAAAAUAUGAAAAUUGUGUUGUUGGAUGAGGUCUACACCUUCUAGGGAAUAGAUUGUGCAUAAAAAGGAAUGGACAUGGACUUCCGAGGUCUGAGCAUGCGACGGUGCUACAAGUAAAUAGUUUUCAUUCUUAAUGUCCAUCAGAAGAAAACCAGAGAAAACCAGAAGUCAGAGUCGUCAGAAAACCGUGAGCUGCAGAACAAAAGGUCCUGCUACGCCGUUCAACAAAAUCGCAAUCAUCAAUGACCCUCUCAUAGUUGAGCAUUGCUAUAGAACUUCAGGAUGUUCCUGUCUCCGAUAGCUCCUACACUACCUCAUCCAGUCAUAGAUUCAAAGCUUUACUGUUCUGUAGUUCGUGGCGGAUUGGACAACUGUCUAUAAAGCCAUUCUAUACGCCGAUAAGUAAGUAAGUACAUAUGUUCUCGUACAUCAUCCAUAACAGGGCUAUGCAAACUCAUUUCUUAGUUCCAAAUUAAAUCCAAGGAGCACAUAGAAAAAAACUGAUUCAGAAUCUAUACCUGUUUAUGAACUGAUCCCGAACCAAUAGUGGUUCUGGAACAGUUCCUUGUACAAUACAGUCUCUGAAACUGAUGCUGCAUUCAAACCGAUUCUGGAACUAAUACUGAAUCAAUACCGGUCAUUGAACUGAUCCUGAACCCAGACCGGUCAUGGAAUUGAUCCGGAACUCUUACCGAUCCUGGAUCUGAUCCUGAACCCAUACUGCACCUACUCCAAUCCUGUAACUGAUUCCAGUGCUCUCAGUAUGCAAUAUAACAAACACAUAUGACAUAAACCCCAUAAUUUGAAUUGGAUUUCAAGUUUAUUGCUCGUGAUUAUAUUGUUGCAUCGAACUAUAGCUUGUUCACCCCACCUACACACUAGAAGCUAUAGAAAGCGCAAAUGAUGAAAAUAACGCAAUACACAACAAA